RNAcentral lists this unclassified non-coding RNA (284 nucleotides) under Hevea brasiliensis (rubber tree). Lineage: Eukaryota; Viridiplantae; Streptophyta; Magnoliopsida; Malpighiales; Euphorbiaceae. The record is from RNAcentral.
AUAAAGAUAAUUUUUUACCAAUUCUAACUCUAAUAUUCAAACAAAUAUAAUUUAUCAUCUUUUCAAGACUUCAAAAAAUGGUAUUACUUAAGGAUUGAAUGUCGUAGUACAUAAGGUUAGUGAUUCAAAGUUUCAAACUCCAACAACCUCUUGCCCUUAAAAAAUUUGUAGUCUACCAAUAAAAAGUUCAUCCUACAACUAGCAUACAACGGCCAGAAACACUCUCCAGUCGGGAAUCAAACCUACAAGAUCAUUCAUUUAGAUGUCUUACCCAUGGUUGUGCA